RNAcentral lists this ribosomal RNA (459 nucleotides) under uncultured bacterium. RNAcentral describes it as "partial 16S ribosomal RNA". It matches the Rfam family "Bacterial small subunit ribosomal RNA", at positions 29 to 523 of the family's 1533-position model. The record is from RNAcentral.
AACGAACGCUGGCGGCAGGCCUAACACAUGCAAGUCGAACGUGAAGCCACCUUCGGGUGGUGGAAAGUGGCAGACGGGUGAGUAACGCGUGGGAACGUGCCUUUCGGUUCGGGAUAACCCAGGGAAACUUGGGCUAAUACCGGAUACGCCCUUCGGGGGAAAGAUUCAUUGCCGAAAGAUCGGCCCGCGUCGGAUUAGCUAGUUGGUGGGGUAAAAGCCUACCAAGGCGACGAUCCGUAGCUGGUCUGAGAGGAUGACCAGCCACACUGGGACUGAGACACGGCCCAGACUCCUACGGGAGGCAGCAGUGGGGAAUAUUGGACAAUGGGCGCAAGCCUGAUCCAGCCAUGCCGCGUGGGUGAAGAAGGCCCUAGGGUUGUAAACCCCUUUCAGCGGGGAAGAUAAUGACGGUACCCGCAGAAGAAGUCCCGGCUAACUCCGUGCCAGCAGCCGCCGUAA